RNAcentral lists this ribosomal RNA (1241 nucleotides) under metagenome. Its description in RNAcentral is "bacterial LSU rRNA". It matches the Rfam family "Bacterial large subunit ribosomal RNA", at positions 1564 to 2815 of the family's 2925-position model. The record is from RNAcentral.
UGAAUACGAGACGCUAAGGCGUCGAAGUAGUGUAUGUCAUACUUCCAAGAAAAGCUUGCACUGUCAUAGAUAAAAAACGCCUGUACCAUAACCGACACAGGUGGGUAGGUAGAGUAUACUAAGGGGCGCGAGAUAACUCUCUCUAAGGAACUCGGCAAAAUAACUCCGUAACUUCGGGAGAAGGAGUGCCUUAUUCUUAAGGUUGCAAUAACAAGAUCCAAGCAACUGUUUAUCAAAAACACAGGUCUCCGCUAAGUCGUAAGACGAUGUAUGGGGGCUGACGCCUGCCCAGUGCCAGAAGGUUAAAGAAGCUGGUUAGCAUUUGCGAAGCUAGUAACUGAAGCCCUGGUGAACGGCGGCCGUAACAAUAACGGUCCUAAGGUAGCGAAAUUCCUUGUCGGGUAAGUUCCGACCCGCACGAAAGGCGUAAUGAUUUGGAUACUGUCUCGGAGAGGGGCUCGGUGAAAUAGACUUGUCUGUGAAGAUGCGGACUACCUGCACCAGGACAGAAAGACCCUAUGAAGCUUUACUGUAACUUGAAAUUGAAAUUGGACUUUAUUCGCGCAGUAUAGGUGGUAGGCGUUGAUUAUAAUCUUGCGGGAUUAUUGGAGCCAUUAGUGAGAUACCACUCUUGUAAUGUUAGAUUUCUAACUUUGAAUCAUUAUCUGGUCAAAGAACAGUUUCAGGCGGGCAGUUUGACUGGGGCGGUCGCCUCCUAAACGGUAACGGAGGCGUACAAAGGUUUCCUCUGAACGGUUAGAAAUCGUAUCUAGAGUGUAAAGGCAUAAGGAAGCUUGACUGUGAGACCUACAAGUCGAGCAGGGACGAAAGUCGGUCUUAGUGAUCUGACGGUACUGAGUGGAAAGGCCGUCACUCAACGGAUAAAAGUUACUCUAGGAUAACAGGCUGAUCUCCCCCAAGAGUUCACAUCGACGGGGAGGUUUGGCACCUCGAUGUCGGCUCAUCGCAUCCUGGGGCGGUAGUACGUCCCAAGGGUUGGGCUGUUCGCCCAUGAAAGCGGUACGCGAGCUGGGUUCAGAACGUCGUGAGACAGUUCGGUCCAUAUCCGGUGUAGGCGUUAGAAUAUUGAGAGGAGCCUUCUUUAGUACGAGAGGACCGAGAAGGACAUACCUCUGGUGUACCAGUUAUCGUGCCAACGGUAAACGCUGGGUAGCUAUGUAUGGAGUGGAUAACCGCUGAAAGCAUCUAAGUGGGAAGCCCACCUCAAGAUAAGUAUUCAC